RNAcentral lists this ribosomal RNA (428 nucleotides) under Verrucomicrobiota bacterium. Its description in RNAcentral is "Verrucomicrobia bacterium partial 16S ribosomal RNA". It matches the Rfam family "Bacterial small subunit ribosomal RNA", at positions 355 to 776 of the family's 1533-position model. Lineage: Bacteria; Pseudomonadati; Verrucomicrobiota. The record is from RNAcentral.
UGGGGAAUCUUCCGCAAUGGACGAAAGUCUGACGGAGCAACGCCGCGUGAGUGAAGACGGCCUUCGGGUUGUAAAGCUCUGUGAUUCGGGACGAAAGGCCAUAUGUGAAUAAUAUAUGGAAAUGACGGUACCGAAAAAGCAAGCCACGGCUAACUACGUGCCAGCAGCCGCGGUAAUACGUAGGUGGCAAGCGUUGUCCGGAAUUAUUGGGCGUAAAGCGCGCGCAGGCGGUCACUUAAGUCCAUCUUAGAAGUGCGGGGCUUAACCCCGUGAUGGGAUGGAAACUGGGAGACUGGAGUAUCGGAGAGGAAAGUGGAAUUCCUAGUGUAGCGGUGAAAUGCGUAGAUAUUAGGAGGAAUACCGGUGGCGAAGGCGACUUUCUGGACUUUUACUGACGCUCAGGUACGAAAGCGUGGGGAGCAAACAGG